RNAcentral lists this long non-coding RNA (8209 nucleotides) under Homo sapiens (human). Its description in RNAcentral is "HSALNT0338627". Lineage: Eukaryota; Metazoa; Chordata; Mammalia; Primates; Hominidae. The record is from RNAcentral.
UCAAAUUAAGAGUUUGAUCCAUUAGUGGAUCAUUAAAUACAUUUAAUAGGUGGUGAAAAUAUUAUUUAAUUCAAUAAAUAAAAUUCAGUGGAAGAGAAGGGAAGGGAAGACAGCAGAGAAAAGAGGAGAGGGGAGGAAAAAGAAAACAAUAAAAAUCAGAUUGCAUUGCACAAAGUAAGCAAAAUUAAUGUUUUGUGAAACUUUUAUAUAACUGUGUUUUGUCUUAUGAUAUUAAAUGUUUUCUGUUUUUUAUCAUUAAAAAAAGGUUGAAAGCUGUGAGUUGAAUUUAUAUACUUUGGAGUGGGAUUUCUAGCUUUCAGUAAUGCCAAUUUAGUUAAAUAAACUAAUUUGGUUAGAUAAUGCAAGUGACUUUGCUAUGUAAUGGUAUCAAUUUACACCCAUAAGAGGUGUGUCUCAGAGCUUGCUUUGUCUAGGUUCUCAACAACUAUCUUGUAGUUACAAUAAUAAAGCACUCUAAUAAUAACAAUAACUAUUUUUUACUAACUUCCAGAAAUUUUCAUGAGUGAGUUCACCUCUUUGGGUCUGUUUCUUCAUCUGCAAUAAGUAAAGUCUGCAAUAUGAGAAUUUCUAAAGUCCCCGUGUAAAGUGUUUUGAUUACAGAACACUUGUAAAAGAAUCAUAUUGUCAUUCUCAGGAAACAGCAGAUGUGACUACUGGAGAGAAGGGCUAUUGUGGUUUCAUUGUUGUAACCAUCACAUAGUAGUCAUUCAAUUUGCCUGGAUUAAAUGAAUGAUUAUGUGCUUUCCACUUGGUAAAUAUUUAACAUAUAAACAUAGUCCUUUCCCUGGCAGUGGGAAAGGUGCCAGCUGAGCUUAUCAUUAUCCUUGAUCUGAUUCAGUAACAAAGGUUUGUAAAACUUGCCAGUUAUACAUAUGUUGGGUACUUACUGAAUGCAGCAUAAUUCACUAAAAUAAGCAACUAGUAGUUUCUUGUGACCAUUGAACAAUUCAAGUGACUUGAAAAAUACCGAUUUUCCACCAACUGCCAGAUUGCUUAGGAUUUCACCAUGAAGAUUUGGCUUGAAUACAGAUGAGUGGAUAAAUCUAGAAACACAUUUAUGAAUGGAAAACAGAAGGAUUAUGAUUGUGAAGCGAGGAGAAGGCUCAUCACCUUGCUCCAGUGCCUGGCUAGGCUGUGUUACGCGUGCUGUCCACGAUGCAACUGGAGCGGGCAGUGCCUCUCUCCCAAGCAUCCUCACCCCCAGAGCUCUGUGUUCCGCAAUGAUGGGCCCUCUCUUUGUUCUCCACCUUCAAAGUGAUUCACUCAGCUAUAUCCUAAAAGUACAAAGUCACCCAGCUCUGUCUAAAAAUGCUUGAGGCUUGAACCGCCUGUUGGAAUGCUCACUUUAUUUGUGAGAGAUCACGUUUAUUGAGCAUUCUCCUGUGCCAUUAUAAACCAACCAAGGAAUCAAGAAACCAUCCGUGAGUGAGGGUCAGAGCCUUGUCAGGAGCCGUUUCUGGAAGAUGUGAGGGUGGCAACGUUGCAUUUGCCAAUGAUAGUUUCUGUUCAGAUGGCAACUUUGCCUCAGUAUAAUCCCAAAUGACAUGUCCAAUUUCCCUUUCUCAACUCUUGAGUUUUUCCAGGGAGAAAAUGUGGUUUUGCCCUUCUUUUAGAAAAUUGAUGUUUCUGUGCUUUUGCUUUGCUAGUGCAUCUGAAAACAUAUGGACACUUCUGGCUAAAAAAAGAAAAGAAAGUCUUUUCUGAUUCAUUUGGCUGAAACAUGAAUUUUCCAAAUUCAGUAAAAAACCCUUUUAUGAGACACUUUCAUCUACCAUAGAUUCCAUUAGACCACGGAGCAGAUCUUCUCCCGGGACACACAGUCAUGCUGUCAUCACAAUUCCCAGUGUUCCGGAAUGCUAGACACUUCCUGACCUUUACGUCUGAUACAUUCUUUGAGAGAACUUCUCCACCGACCCCGUCACCUGGAUUGGAUCACCGACCUCUCCCAAGAGGGGCCUGGCUUCCUCCUCGCUGGGGAAACGGUAGGGAGCUCCCCUAGGUAAAGCCUCUAGGGAGAGUGGCCAGGAGCCGGGUCAGGAAAGGCUCUGGUGCCCAAAGGGCUGCCCGCAGAGGCUGAGGUCCCUGCAAGUGCACAGGGAGGAGAGGUGAGAUCAGAUUCCAGCCGAGUCAGGCUUCCAUGUCAGACUGCGUGUGUUUAUGCAGAGGUGCAACUCAGGAAUUACUGAGGAGAAAGUACAGGGCCAAUUUAACCUCCUCUGAGAGACCUCUAACCCUGCUCAUCACCACUCCUCGCUAAAAAGGGCCCUCUCCAGGGAAGAACCCAGAGGGAGAGCGGGAAUUCUCCUCCCCUUGGAGGAAGAGUGCUUCCUCUACCCUUAAUGUAUCAACUGACAACAAUUCAAACAGAAGGAAACUAGGAUGUGACAAAUAAAGGAAGCCUUUUCAUGCUCUAUGUCCACUGGCGUCGGGCAAGCCCCGGUGGAAGUCCAAGGAAAAGAGUCUAAGACCCAAACAGAUGGUUUGCGCCAAAGUUCUGAAGUGUAUCAGACGUGAAUAAAGGUAUGUUAAUUCUAAAAGGAACUAAAAUAGAAACAUGAUGUGGUUUAGACUCAGGUAUUAAAAAAUGAGCCAUCUCAGAAGUGGAGACCAACUGAAUAUCUUCCUGUAUAACUUCUUCUAUAACUCUUCCAUGCCUCUAUGUUUGGUUGACUUUCACCAGUUUUCCCAGUCUCCAAUGAACCUGAUUCUAUAGGCAGUUACUCUGUGUUCUUUUUGAUGGGAUUCUAAGAAGUGAAGAACAGCAUAGGAACCAAUUUGCUGUGUAAAAUCAGAGAGAGCUCGACUCACUGUGGGUCAGAAACAAAGGGAGACUCUCCAUUGAAAACAGGCUCCCUGAAAGCAGACAUCAGCUAUAAACUGGUUAGGAAUUUAUUAUGAAUUUCCUUUGCAUUCUGAAGCAGAAGGCUUAAAAUUAGGCUCUAAGUCGGAACCCACAGUACCAUUUCCCACAGUAUGACAAGUUUAUAUGGGCAACACAUAUACUUUAGAGUAAUUUGAUCGUCCCAGGCACUAUCUGGAGUGCUUUACACAUGUAGCUGCUUAGUCGUGGCCCCUCAUGGCCUGGCCCUCUGGGUUGGAAUGAUGAGUUGCCAGAGGGUGAAGUCACUUUUGGAUCAUCACGAACACUGAGAGUCGAAAGACAAUGCCAGAGGGUGACGUCACUUCCGGUUCAUCACGAACACAUGGAGAGUCGGAAGAUGACCCUGGGCUUGUCUUCACAUUUUCCGUGUUGUCACUUGCCGGUCCUUUGGAAGCCGACCCUAGAUGUACACUGUCUUGCCGGGACCUUUCUCUUCUCUUCCCCUGUGACCACGCAGGUCUUCGAUUCCCUGCCCCCUGCCCGAGGACCUGCCUCCUCCCUGCCCGAGGACCAAGCUUCAGAAGAACUGCACAUGGGAGGAAAUACCAACCGCUUAACUUCUUCAGAGACAACCUCUAACCCGGCUCACCACCACGCUAGCUAAAAAAGGGCCCUCUCCCAGGGAAGAUCCCGGAGGAAGAGUGGGAAUUCACCCUCCCCUUGGGGGAGGAGUGCUUUCUCUACCCUUAAUUUAUGAACUGAGAAAAAUCCUAACAAGCCUACUAUGAAAUAAAGAUGCCCUUAACCCAUUUAUGCCUAGUGUUCCAUUAUUGGAACGCUAAGCUUGUGGGAGUUAUUUAUAUCCUACUGCUCAAAACCAUUGCCAAGGUCUGAUUUUUCACACAAAAAAAUUUGCAACCUUCGGUAUAAAUGGGUUAAUUCCAAAGCCUAAAGCAACCUAAGACAUCUCAGUCCACAGUGAGCCCAGCCUCCAGCUGCAGGUGUUGGCUUCCACACAGCGCAGGACCAAGCAGUUUUGUGCUGAGUCCAUCUCUGUGGCCACCGGCCACCCGGUGCUGGGGCUGGUCCCCAGCUCAUCUGCACAGGGUUGGUGGAAGGGGCCAGAGGCAGCCUGGGCUCUGAAUUCCACCCAGACCUGGGGAAUAGGCCUGGUAGGGGAGUGAAUGCCAGGGCCGCUGGUGGCCUUGGCUCUUCUGCACGGCAGCAACUGUGGUGGCCUGAGAAUAAGGAGUUACCAUAAGGACGUAGAGGUAGAUCACCAGAGCCGCAUCCACACCCAGAGAUAGACUCACACAUCUGUGGUGUGUUCAUUUCAACAAAGGUGCAGAGAAAAUUCCAUGGAGGAAAAACAAUAGCCUAUCAACAAAUGGUGUUAGAACGAUUGGAUAUCUCACGCAAAAAAUUAACUUUUAUCUGUAUCUCAUGUUAUGUAAAAAUGGAACCAAAAUAGAUUAUAAACAUAAUGUAGAAUAUAAAAGAAAUUAUGGUAAAAAUCAUAGGAAAAAAAUCUGUGCGACCUUAGUUAGGCAAAGAUAUUUUAAAUUUGACAGCAAAAGUACAAUCCAUAAAAGAAAAGAAACUGAUAAAUUGGACAUACUCAAAGUGAAGCACAUAUGCUAGUCAGAAGACACUACUGUUAAGAGAAUAAAAAAUAUAAGCCACAGAUCUGGAGAAAACAUUUGCAAACCAUAUAUCUGAAAAAAAUGGCUUGUACUUCACAUCUAAAAAGACUCAAAAGUCAAUAAUAGGAAAGAAGAGACAAUUUAAAAUGGGCAAAAUAGUUAAAAAGACAGAUCAGCCAAGAAGAUAUAUGGAUGAAAAUUAAACACAUUAAAUACAUCCGAUGUCAAUAACCCUGCUCCCUACCGGUUAGACAGCUGAUGUCAGAAAGGCCGACCCCAUCGCGCGUGCGCGAGCACAAGUGGGCAGGAACAGGAAAUGCCACGAGGACGCUGAAUCAAACCUGCCUACGUGAAGGGCUGAAGACGCGACAUUUCCUGACAGAGGUUGCUAUGUCUAGCAGCAUGAGCCUCUCCAUGAAGGCAUGAGGGGAGAAGACCUCUUCUCUACCUUGUCCCAGGUCUUCCAGGAUUGGUGUCUCCUUUGAGAAGCAGGACUGCUUUUAUAAGUAAGAAAAAUAUUGGUUCUUCAUUUUCAAAAUAACGUCUCAGCUACGUGUCCAAGUGUGUCACAUUGCAACAACUGCCCAGCUGUGGGGCUGGUCUUGGGGAGCAGAGGGGACUGAGGGGCCUGCCUCAUUACGAGCUGCACAGGAGGGCUGAGCUUGCAUUAGCAGCUUCUCCCUCCAGUGCAGGAGAACGCAUUAAGAUUUACGGUUCAUCUGAAAGUAGCUUAGAAAGAAACCAUAUGCUCUUAUCAUCUCUUGCAGAAGUUGCAGACAAGUUAUUUAAAAAUCUCGUUUUCUUAAACUGUCUUUAUUGCAAAGAAAAGAGCCUCUGGGAUCCACUUCAAGUAGUCAUUGUGGAGGGUACAGCAAGCCAGCCCUGGGCUAAGCAUUUACCCCACUAAUUCACCACCACAGCAAGGUGGAGAUCCUUGAGUUUUUGCCUGUGUUUCACAAAUGAGGAAUCCGAGGAGCAGAGACCUGAAGUGACCUGUCCAGGACACAAGAGUGAACCCGGGGACAAAGCCAACCCGCUCUGCUGGGGCUAGUGCCUUUCCACACUCCUCUGUUUCUAUAUUUAAACCGAGUGAAAGGAGACAUGGAAAAUACAUUAGCCCAUUUGGAGGUGAAUUUGAUACACUCUCAUUUGUCAUAGAGGGUAGAAAAAGAUGGAAAAGAGAAACGGGCUGGUGGGGAGGAGGGAAGAGCAGAGACCAGGGCCUCAGCCCAACCUCCAUCCGCUUCCCACUUUCUCUCCCUGUCCCUUUCCUGGAGGCCUUGCUUGCUCCUCACAAAGCUGUCAUUCUUAUGCCUUGCAUGAAUUUGGGUAUUUUAACUUGUCUAUUAAAAAUAUAAAUCUGGCCCCAUAUAUAUGCUUAAUUAAUAUUAUCAUGUAUCCCCUUCAAAAUACUCUGUGGCCAAAGUUUGUGCCCUUUUAUGCAGGAUCGGGAAUGGAUUCCCUAAUAAAUGUCUUGCAUUUUUCCCAUCACAAAAUGUAGUUAAAUUAGCGUCUCUUCAUCCUAAUUUUAUUUCUCCAUUUGGACAAAGCAUCUUCACUUCCAACAGCUGAGCUUUUCAAAGAUAUUUAUUUCUGUGUAGAAUUAAAAAAAAUUGAAUAUUACCAUUUCUGAAAAUAAGUAACUCAAAACUUUCCUUUAAAAUUAUUGCAAAAGUUUCAUAAAUUCAGUUAGAUAUAUGCUUAGGGAAAAUACAGAGUUUGAAGGAAUUUUUAAAAGACCACAUAUUCUAUAAUUCUGUUUAUAUGAAAGUUUUAGAACAGGCAAACCCAUGGAGACAUCGAGUAGAUUGGUGGUGGCCAGGGACUGGUGGAGGGAGGUGGCAGGCAAGAGAAUGGCUGCUGACGGGUAUGGGGUUCCUUUCAGAGUAAAAAUGUUCUAAAAUUACCUUGUGGUUGUGGUUGCACAGCACUGAGACUAUACUAACUGGCAUGUACGGUUUAUUAAUUAUAUUUCAACAAAGCUAUUAAAAUAUUCAGUUUCCAAAAAUAUAUCAGUGCAUGUAAUUGCAAUAUGUUUAGAUCUACCGGAAUUUAAUGAAAUCUAGUAAGUAAUGUCUAGUUAAUACACUUCCAUGGGGAUUUGCAUUUUAUAUGUGUUUAAGUUACUCUUCUGAAUUUUUUUUUUUCCAGUUCUUAUCAAUGCUUCACAAGGUUGGAAUUCCAGCUGUUAAACUUACUAUAGGCCAGGUGCAGUGGCUCACGCCUGUAAUACCAGCACUUUGGGAGGCCAAGGCGGUCAGAUCACUUGAGGCCAGGAGUUUGAGACAAGCUUGAGCAACAUGGCAAAACCCUAUCUACACUAAAAAUACGAAAAAAUAAUUAGCUAGGUGUGCUGGCAUGUGCUUGUAGUCCCAGCUACUUGGGAGGCUGAGGCAGGAGAACCACUUGAACCCAGGAAGUAGAGGCUGUAGUGAGCUGAGAUCACGCCAGUGCACUCCAGCCUGGGCAACAGGAAUGAAACCCUGUUUGAAGAAAACAAAACAAACAAAAUCCAAAAAACUUACUAUGUAGCCUUGGGCAAAGUGACUUUUCAAAGCCUUGUAUUCUUUAUUCUCAAAUAAUACAACCAGCACCUCCCCCAUUACACACAUACACCGGUGUACACACACACACAGACACACACAACCAGCACAUAAUUCUUUUUUGCAAAGACUUCUUAGAAAGAUAAAAAAGAGAUAAGUACUAGUUUUUCAUACAUAUGUAUGCUAUGAGAACCAGUCAAUAAAAUAAAACAACAAAUAAUAUACAUUGUAGCUUCUUAAGAAUCUUCAGCUUUUAAAGUCCCAAGUCUUUCCAGGGCUCCCAGAGCCCCAGUGACUCCUCACCAACAGAGAUGGGAUCCCGGAAGAGCCGGGAUCAUGAUUGGAGGGAGAAAGAUACGGAGACCCCAGUCUGUGCCAGAAGAAUUUCCUGAAUUAACGUUUUUAUCAGGAUGAAGUGUGGAUUAUCAAGUUUGUUAGAAUAAAUGGUCUUAGGUCUAGUGGAAGCUGCUUCGGAGCCAUGGAGAAAAGGCAGCCUGCGCUGAUUGACCAUGAGCCUAAGUACACUGCAUGAACCUUUGGAAGUACCUCUUCUAUGUCUGCCUGAACAAUCAUACCUCAUUAAACAUAAGAUGAAAUAAAGACAUUUCAAGUCAGAGAAGAGUUGAUCAAUUUCCUGCCACAGAAUGACAUUAAACAGUAAAAGAAGUUUCUUGAGCUGAAAGAAAAGUCCAGAAGAUCCUACAGAGUCUUUGAAAUCGGUGUGUAUGUUACACCUACAACACAUCCCACACUGGAGGAGCCACCCUCCCAGGGCGAGACAGCAACACAGGCCUCCUGGCCACCCACACAGAGAAUAGAUACAUGAACUUCGGUACAUUGAUGCGGCAGAAUAAGACGGUGUACAGCAGUGACACCAAAGGAACCAUGGCUACAGGUAGCAGCAGCUGAACCUCACAAGUAAAACCGAGAGACUGCAAAGGACUGUAGACUGCAUGAUGUUACAUGUCUGUAACAUUCAAAAGGAAGGCAACACCGUUGUACUUAGUGAUGUUGAGCUAAGCCUCUGCAGAAAGGCGAAGCUGUGAUUGCACUGCAGCCCGUAGCAUAGUGAACUUUGCAACGCAGGGAAGGGCAUACAAAGCGCAGGCCUUUGGGAGUUCUGGCCGUUCUGUGUACUGACCUGGGUGUGGUCACAUUUCUUGAUAAACAAUUGAGGAGCA